Molecule: ribosomal RNA, 400 nt
Filed under: uncultured fungus
Lineage: Eukaryota; Fungi
Description: eukaryotic LSU rRNA
Rfam family: 5.8S ribosomal RNA (bases 1-112)
Source: RNAcentral
ACGCAGCGAAAUGCGAUAAGUAAUGUGAAUUGCAGAAUUCAGUGAAUCAUCGAAUCUUUGAACGCACCUUGCACCCUUUGGUAUUCCGAAGGGUACACCCGUUUGAGUGUCAUUGUAAUCUCACUUCGACGACUUUAUUGUUGUUUGAAUGUGGACUUGGACGUCUGCCGUGUAACAAUGGCUCGUCUUAAAUGCCUGAGUGUACCCCGCUUUGCGGCGUAUUCGGUGUGAUAAACAUUUCACCGGAGUUUGGUCUUUAGUGACCGCGCUUUUAGCAAUUGGUGGGCUCUAUGCUUUCGAACCGUCUGCCUCUGUGGACAAUCUCUUGACAAUUUGACCUCAAAUCGGGUGGGACUACCCGCUGAACUUAAGCAUAUCAAUAAGCGGAGGAAAAGAAACU